Molecule: ribosomal RNA, 253 nt
Filed under: uncultured bacterium
Lineage: Bacteria
Description: partial 16S ribosomal RNA
Rfam family: Bacterial small subunit ribosomal RNA
Source: RNAcentral
ACGGAGGGUGCGAACGUUAAUCGGAAUUACUGGGCGUAAAGCGCGCGUAGGCGGUUUGUUAUGUGAGAUGUGAAAUCCCCGGGCUCAACCUGGGAACUGCGUUUCAAACUGACAAACUAGAGUUCAGUAGAGGGAGGUGGAAUUUCCUGUGUAGCGGUGGAAUGCGUAGAUAUAGGAAGGAACACCAGUGGCGAAGGCGGCCUCCUGGACUGAAACUGACGCUCAGUGUGCGAAAGCGUGGGGAGCAAACAGG